AGCGAACGCUAGCGGGUGGCUUAACACAUGCAAGUCGAGCGCUUCCUUCGGGAAGAGCGGCGAACGGGUGAGUAACACGUAGGAUACCUACCUCAUGGUGGGGGAUAACUGGGGGAAACCCCAGCUAAUACCGCAUAUGGCCCACGGGUCAAAGACUUCGGUCGCCAAGAGAUGGUCCUGCGGCCCAUUAUUUAAUCCUAGUUGGUGAGGUAACGGCUCACCAAGGGUACGAUGGGUAGCUGGUCUGAGAGGACGAUCAGCCACACUGGGACUGAGACACGGCCCAGACUCCUACGGGAGGCAGCAGUGGGGAAUAUUGCGCAAUGGGCGAAAGCCUGACGCAGCCAACCCGCGUGAGUGAUGAAGGCCCUAGGGUUGUAAAGCUCUGUCGUGAGGGAAGAAGAUCUGACGGUACCUCACAAGAAAGCACCGGCUAACUCCG
This 442-nucleotide ribosomal RNA is filed under the name uncultured Myxococcales bacterium. Its description in RNAcentral is "bacterial SSU rRNA". It matches the Rfam family "Bacterial small subunit ribosomal RNA", at positions 29 to 505 of the family's 1533-position model. Lineage: Bacteria; Pseudomonadati; Myxococcota; Myxococcia; Myxococcales. The record is from RNAcentral.